GGACAGAUGGCCGAGCGGUCUAUGGCGCUACGUUCAGGUUUCGCUUUGUGAAUCUGACUCGUAGUCUCGAAAGGGGCGUGGGUUGGAAUCCCACUCUGUUCA
Neurospora tetraspora is the source of this 102-nucleotide non-coding RNA. The record is from the annotation of a RefSeq genome assembly. Lineage: Eukaryota; Fungi; Ascomycota; Sordariomycetes; Sordariales; Sordariaceae.